UUCCUCCAGUAAUAACCUUCCUCGUAUUUUCUUUGAGUAUAAAUUCAACAGGUAGCCUAAUUCUCAUGCACUGCCCCUUAAAUUGCAAACUUUUUUGAUAAGCAAUUAAUCAUUUUGAGUAAUAUAUGAAGAAAUACAGUCAAAAUUCUCAGAUUCCAGCUUCUUGAAUGUGAAUAUUUUCUGAUUUCUUCACUCCUCUGUGAACAAACAAACAUAAUGACUUUGAUUUUGGAUGAAACAUUUGAGGACGUCAUCUUGGGCUUUGACACUGAUCGACAUUUUUCACAACUUUUUGGUACUUUAUAGACAAAACUAUUAACUAAUUAAUCGAGAAAACAAUCGACAAAUUAAUCAACAAUACCUUUUGUAUUAGUUGCAGUUGCAUAUUCUGUUUCAAAGAUUAGCACAAUAUGCAUCACGCGAUAAAAAUCUGUCAACCUCGUCCUCGUCUGAAUAAACAGGGAGCCUCAUGACAGUGAUGAACUGUAGGCGGACCUACAGAAACACUCAUACACCCUUAGAUCAGCAAAUUAUACGCAGUGACACACCUGCGACUGUCAGAACAUGGCUGUCAUCGUCAAACACGACCUCCUCACACUGUCAGCGUUUCUGCUGUGGACUACAGGUCUGACUGAUGGAAACAAUGUCACCCAGACGCCCAUAUUGUGGAAAAACAGGGGUGAAAAUGCAACAAUACACUGCAGCCACACGAAGGAUCAGAACCAUUACUACAUGUACUGGUACAGACAGCUGCCGGGAGAAUCAGUGACUCUAAUAGUGUUCACAUCACUCGGCACAGAUAAUGACUUUGGAAAUUUCAGCAACAAGAAAUUCAUGGCUGCCAAACCUGACGCCAACACCGGAUCAUUCACAGUGAAGAAUGUGGAGCCAGGAGAUCAGGGCUUGUAUUUCUGUGCUGUGGCAGUGCAGCACAUCUGUGGUGUGUAGUGACAGUUCAUGAGGAGGAGAAUUCAUGACGAAACCACCCAAUUAAAAAAAAAAAGGUUCCU
This is a non-coding RNA of Acanthopagrus latus (yellowfin seabream), 1010 nucleotides long. Lineage: Eukaryota; Metazoa; Chordata; Actinopteri; Spariformes; Sparidae. The record is from the annotation of a RefSeq genome assembly.